Non-coding RNA from Nicotiana tabacum (common tobacco), 1495 nucleotides. Lineage: Eukaryota; Viridiplantae; Streptophyta; Magnoliopsida; Solanales; Solanaceae. The record is from RefSeq and is a predicted model, not a curated record.
CUCAUUUUCCUUACCAUCAUCCGCCUAUUACCCCCCCAAACCCUACAGACCUAUCAUGUUCUCUCAAGUCUCAAGAAAGAGACCAAGCAGCCGCACACCCCAUCUUCGUUUCUUAAUCUCUAAUUUUUGAGAGACCAAGGUUGCUCCUUCUCGUUUCUUACAAUGCCACCGGUGAUGGCUCUCUAUCCCUUGUCCUGGCUGCCGCUUCUCCAGCCCUUUCUUCCCUUCGCCACCUGCUUUUACCACCGGUGAUGGCCGGCGACUGCAACACCACCUCUGCUCCGCCACUGCUUGUCUUCUUCGUCUCCCCUUCCCCCUUCUCCUAACUUGAUGUUAAUUUUCGUUUUUUUUCAGGUUUUAGACUCGCCGGAAAAUAAAUAGAUCUAGCCGGAAAUGUUAUUUCCCGGCAAAAUGCUGCCUUUUUGUACAUCUACCUUCUAUUUCUGUCAGAUCUAAAGGGGAACGAAAAGAUAACUAAAAAUUCGCUUCGUCGGAGUUCGUCGGAAUCUAGACGGAGAACAUUUUCUCCCAUGAUAGGUGCGUGUUUUGUUUAUUGCCGCCUUAGUCCAUGACUGUUUCAUUUUCCAUCCACUCGUCGGUUAUAUUUUGUUAUUUCAAUUUUGUUUACAUCAUUGUUUCUUACCACUGAUGUUUGGGAUUAGAAGGCCGUCGUUUGGCCUCUCGUUACUGAUAUGUGUAAAGUUUUGUGACUGUUAGCUCUGUCGUAACUUCCUUUUUCGGCGACUGUUCGUUCUUGGAUGGUACUGCUUUGGUAUUGCAUAUCCUCUUCUAUGUUGGUUGCUCUUGGACUUGAUUUCAAUAUUCUUCCAUCCUUGCCUAUGAUUUGUUUGUCAUUUUGAGGCUCCUCUGGCAGAACACUACUGGAAUUGGAUUGAAUUUGUGCCAAACAGAUUAUUGUCCAAGUAGCACUGUUGCUUCACCAGUGCUGGUUCAACAGUAAAGAUCGUUGGUUUUUGCUACACUAAAUACCGAUGAAAAAAUGUUUUACGAAUUAUUGAGGCCGCGCCCCUCGGAUGUACCCUCCAGACUGGGCCCUAAUAUAACGAGGUGAUGACGAUAACUUAUCAAAAAAAAAAAAGAAAGACAUAAACAUGGCGAACCAAUAACCUUUGGAGGGCGACACAACUAGCUAUCAAGGUACCCUAACAAUGAACUCGAAGAUGAAAAGACAAAUCUCUGUCAAGCUCCCCGCUUCGCACUUUUUAUUCUAGGAUGUACCCUAAAAUAAAUACAUGCUUAGAACAAAUUCAUGAUAGCUACCCCUUUUUUAUGAAAUGACAUUCAACAUGAUUAGUUUGCAUAUAGUUGUGCACGGAUAGUUGCUUUCUUGUGGGAUUCUCUAAAAGUCCGAAAUAUUUUAUAUGUUGUACAUCCAUUAGAUUUAGUUGAGUAUAACCCAUUGUGUUUGUCUAUGAUUCUUGACUGAUUAUUUGUUGGUCAUGCAUUUGUUAUAAGAUUCAUUUAUCAUUAUUUA